UUCACAGGUUGAAACACUGGGUGGCGAGUGGCGAACGGGUGAGUAAAAUAUCGGAACGUAUCCUGUAGAGGGGGAUAGCCCGGCGAAAGCCGGAUUAAUACCGCAUAUGCUCAAAAGAGGAAGGCGGGGGACCGGAUGGGUGACCAUUGGGCCUCGCGCUAGAGGGGCGGCCGAUGUCGGAUUAUGCUAGUUGGUGGGGUAAGGGCCUACCAAGGCGGUGAUCCGUAGCGGGUCUGAGAGGAUGAUCCGCCACACUGGGACUGAGACACGGCCCAGACUCCUACGGGAGGCAGCAGUGGGGAAUUUUGGACAAUGGGGGCAACCCUGAUCCAGCAA
This 336-nucleotide ribosomal RNA is filed under the name Candidatus Glomeribacter gigasporarum. Its description in RNAcentral is "bacterial SSU rRNA". It matches the Rfam family "Bacterial small subunit ribosomal RNA", at positions 70 to 394 of the family's 1533-position model. Lineage: Bacteria; Pseudomonadati; Pseudomonadota; Betaproteobacteria; Burkholderiales; Burkholderiaceae. The record is from RNAcentral.